This 305-nucleotide ribosomal RNA is filed under the name uncultured bacterium. Its description in RNAcentral is "partial 16S ribosomal RNA". It matches the Rfam family "Bacterial small subunit ribosomal RNA", at positions 505 to 807 of the family's 1533-position model. The record is from RNAcentral.
ACAGCAGCAGCCGCGGUAAUACGGAGGAUCCGAGCGUUAUCCGGAUUUAUUGGGUUUAAAGGGUGCGUAGGUGGCCUGUUAAGUCAGGGGUGAAAGACGGUAGCUUAACUAUCGCAGUGCCCUUGAUACUGAUGGGCUUGAAUGAACUAGAGGUAGGCGGAAUGUGACAAGUAGCGGUGAAAUGCAUAGAUAUGUCACAGAACACCAAUUGCGAAGGCAGCUUACUAUGGUUUUAUUGACACUGAGGCACGAAAGCGUGGGGAUCAAACAGGAUUAGAUACCCGCGUAGUCCCUGUCUCUUAUAC